GAGUCACAGUGCAGCCCUGGACUGGACAGUGAGUGCCUUGUGGGACCCUCCUGGGCUUUCCUGUCCCUCAGAGCAUUUAAAGGGGUCCCAAAUUGUCAUGUGACCCUCUCUGAUGCCAGAGAGACACUCUAGGUCUUUCGCGCCCUGGUCAUUUUACAGAACUGUGGCUGGAUGCCAGGCAUUCAGAGAUACAUUCCUCAAUCUCGGUCCGCCUUACAGGAUCCAGCAUCGAAGAGUUCAGUUCAAGUCAGCAGCCGAGUUACAGGAAAGCAGCCAGGGCAAUGAUUCAGCAAGUCCAGGCAGGAGUGAACCAGGCAAGAUUUCGGGAGGAGAGGGCUGGGUCGCGUGUCCUGGCAGGGCCACAGGAAGAGCAUACACAUCUCCUGCGUCUUCGUAUUUUGUGAGUGUCUUGAAAUGACCUUGAGAAUCUACGCAAUACCAUGAAGAAGCAGGAGCAGGAAUACCAUUUAUCCAUUGGCACAGGGUAGCAUGCUCAGUGUGCACUGAGGUUGUGAAUUCUUGUCCUGACCCAAAGAUGCUGAUGCUGUCCUUAUACCCAUUUCACGGUUGAAGAAACUGAAGGUGUAGUAGGAGAAGAUACUGACUCAGAGGCACAGAGUUAGAAAGCAGCAUGUCUGGGAUUUGACCCCAGACCUGUCUGACUCAGUUUACUAUUUUAAACUACCCGAUUCAAGUUAAGUUUCUCUCCUCUCUCUCUGUCUCUCUUUCUCCCACGUGGCUGCUGGAAUCUUCCCUAAGGACCAUAGCUGUCUGCAGUGCAGGAAGCCAACUAUUAAGGGGAAACAAAAGUGUUCUUAGGAGUCCUGCUGUCACUGUGGAUUGAGCCGGUGAAGCCCUGAGGGAUUUCAUCGCUGAGGUGGAUGGAGAAGCAGCUGGGGGCCUUGGCUGUAAGGACCCCUAAGGGCCUGAUCUUUUGGCCAGAAGGAGAUUAAAAAGAUGCCCCUCAAGAUGGCUGUGCCUGUCAGCUGCAUGGAGCUUCGUUCAAGUAUUUUCUGAGCCUGAUGGAUUUACAGUGAUCUUCAGUGGUCUGGGGAAUAACGCUGGUGGAACCAUGCACUGGAAUGACACACGCCCGGCACAUUUCAGGAUACUAAAAGUGGUUUUAAGGGAGGCUGUGGCUGAAUGCCUCAUGGAUUCUUACAGCUUGGAUGUCCAUGGGGGACGAAGGACUGCAGCUGGCUGAGAGGGUUGAGAUCUCUGUUUACUUAGAUCUCUGCCAACUUCCUUUGGGUCUCCCUAUGGAAUGUAAGACCCCGACUCUUCCUGGUGAAGCAUCUGAUGCACGUUCCAUCCGGCGCUCAGCUGGGCUUGAGGACUUCGCAGGUGAGCAGUAACGGAAAUCAGCCCCGUUUAUUCCUCCCAGCACCUGCCUUAUCCAACUCCCCACGCUGUGGCUGAGUCCCAGCCUGCUAUGGAAGCAUCACUGGACUCCCAUUGAACUCUGUGCAGAUUCGCUGUUCGUAGACAUGGUACCUGAUGGACACCAAGCUACGUACAGCUUCAAGGCCCCUUCUUUCUUUGCUAAUAAAAAAUAAAAAAUAAAAACAUAAUACACGU
This is a long non-coding RNA of Homo sapiens (human), 1578 nucleotides long. Ensembl annotates it as Pvt1 oncogene. Its record names the gene PVT1. NCBI's taxonomy places the organism in Eukaryota, Metazoa, Chordata, Mammalia, Primates, Hominidae. The record is from Ensembl.